GCUCGGGGAGGUAGUGACGAAAAAUAACAAUACAGGCCUCGUACGAGGCCCUGUAAUUGGAAUGAGUACACUUUAAACGCUUUAACGAGUAUCCAUUGGAGGGCAAGUCUGGUGCCAGCAGCCGCGGUAAUUCCAGCUCCAAAAGUGUAUAUUUAAGUUGUUGCGGUUGAAAAGCUCGUAGUUGGAUUUUGGGAUGGCGCGUUCGGUCGGCCGCAAGGCUUGUACUGGACGUGCCGUCCUCACAUGACCGGUGCCUCUAAGGUGCUCUUGACCGAGUGUCUGUGUGGUCCGGGAAGUUUACCUUGAAAAAAUUAGAGUGUUCAAAGCAGGCUUAAAGCUUGAAUAAUGUUGCAUGGAAUAAUGGAAUAGGACCUCGGUUCUAUUUUGUUGGUUUUCGGAGCGCGAGGUAAUGAUUAAGAGGAACGGACGGGGGCAUCCGUACUGUGCCGUUAGAGGUGAAAUUCUUGGAUCGGCGCAAGACGAACAACUGCGAAAGCAUUUGCCAAGAAUGUUUUCUUUAAUCAAGAGCGAAAGUCAGAGGUUCGAAGACGAUCAGAUACCGUCCUAGUUCUGACCUUAAACGAUGCCGACUAGCGAUCGGGCAGUGUAAAGUAAAGACCUGCCCGGCAGCUUCCGGGAAACCAAAGUCUUUGGGUUCCGGGGGAAGUAUGGUUGCAAAGCUGAAACUUAAAGGAAUUGACGGAAGGGCACCACCAGGAGUGGAGCCUGCGGCUUAAUUUGACUCAACACGGGAAAUCUCACCCGGCCCGGACACAGCGAGGAUUGACAGAUUGAGAGCUCUUUCUUGAUUCUGUGGGUGGUGGUGCAUGGCCGUUCUUAGUUGGUGGAGCGAUUUGUCUGGUUAAUUCCGAUAACGAACGAGACUCUUACUUGCUAAAUAGCUGCUCGACCCGUCGCGGUCAGAGACAACUUCUUAGAGGGACUAGUGGCGUUUAGCCACACGAGAUUGAGCAAUAACAGGUCUGUGAUGCCCUUAGAUGUUCGGGGCCGCACGCGCGCUACACUGACCGGAUCAUCGUGUGCUUCCCUUGGCCGAAAGGCCCGGGUAAUCCGUUGAACCCCGGUCGUGCUAGGGAUAGGGAAUUGCAAUUGUUUCCCUUGAACGAGGAAUUCCCAGUAAGCGCGAGUCAUUAGCUUGCGUUGAUUACGUCCCUGCCCUUUGUACACACCGCCCGUCGCUACUACCGAUUGAAUGGUUUAGUGAGGUCCUCCGAUUGGGCCUGGCGCGCACGGAAACUUGCGCGCCGGCGCCCGAGAAGACGAUC
Molecule: ribosomal RNA, 1286 nt
Filed under: Helicosalpa virgula
Lineage: Eukaryota; Metazoa; Chordata; Thaliacea; Salpida; Salpidae
Description: SSU rRNA
Rfam family: Eukaryotic small subunit ribosomal RNA
Source: RNAcentral